RNAcentral lists this ribosomal RNA (449 nucleotides) under uncultured bacterium. RNAcentral's name for it is "partial 16S ribosomal RNA". It matches the Rfam family "Bacterial small subunit ribosomal RNA", at positions 29 to 523 of the family's 1533-position model. The record is from RNAcentral.
AACGAACGCUGGCGGCAGGCUUAACACAUGCAAGUCGAACGCAUCCUUCGGGGUGAGUGGCAGACGGGUGAGUAACGCGUGGGAACGUGCCCUUCAGUUCGGGAUAACCCAGGGAAACUUGGGCUAAUACCGGAUACGUGCGAGAGCAGAAAGAUUUAUCGCUGGAGGAUCGGCCCGCGUCUGAUUAGCUAGUUGGUGGGGUAAUGGCCCACGAAGGCGACGAUCAGUAGCUGGUCUGAGAGGAUGAUCAGCCCCAUUGGGACUGAGACACGGCCCAAGCUCCUACGGGAGGCAGCAGUGGGGAAUAUUGGACAAUGGGCGCAAGCCUGAUCCAGCCAUGCCGCGUGAGUGAUGAAGGCCUUAGGGUUGUAAAGCUCUUUCGUCCGGGACGAUAAUGACGGUACCGGAAGAAGAAGCCCCGGCUAACUUCGUGCCAGCCGCCGCCGUAA